CCAAGUUGAUCCAGUGGUUUUACUGCAGCUUUCUCACUGCGACUGUGACAUGCUCGUUGUGACCUUAGAAGUCCCUAAUCAACAUUUAGGAAACCUGCAUAGAGUAGAUCCAGAAACUCUUGAGUCCUGGAGAGCUGAACUCCUGGAUGUGGUUGUGAAGUCAGUCGUGUUUCCGACAGAUGGAACAGCUGUAAAGUCAGCAAGCUCUAAUGUGCUAAAUGCUAAUGCAGAAUCUGAGCGAUGCACUGACUCAACUUUAAAAAAUUUAAAUGAAAUGUAACAAAACAAAGAAUACACGUUCCUGUUUCAGCAAACAUGUCUUUGUUCCGACUGAACAGAAUCUGACUGACUGGCUGGCUGCACGUCUGUCUUCCAUCUUCAUGCUGCUCAUGUAACCCACACUGCAGACCUGGAGUGAGCGGCAGGUGUCGUCAUGGAAACAAUGGUUUAAGAAAGCUGGUUAUGUGUGCGAUGAAUGGAGGGGGGGCAGAUGUAACUGAGGCCGAGAUGAGUCUGUCUAAGGCUGGACGGUGGGAGGAGGAGAAGAAGCUGCAGCACGCAAGACUUCCUGUCAUUGUGUGUCUGUCUGAUGGAGCUGCUGGGAGGUAAACCGAGUGCCUUGCUCAAGGACUGUCAGAACCAGCAGCAGAGUGGCGUGAGGCAGGAGGCGUGGCCUUCACUACCUGGUGGCCCAGCACACCUGUUUCCCAUGUCUAAUGGAUGCACCUAUAAAAGCCUCUCCCUGGCUCCUCCAGCUGCCAGGUUAUUUACGUUGAGUUUGGCUCCUUCCUGGUUAAUAGUAAAAGCUUUUCGACGGCCUAGCUCCCUCCCUCUGCUACCAGUGUUCUUCUGUUAUUCGUUUUUAUGUUUGUGAGGUUAAUAAACCUUCACUGCUGUUCCAUCUCACCUGACUCUGCUCUGGGAUCUGUCCACUCACCACAACAAAACAGCUGUUACACAGUCAUUCU
This is a long non-coding RNA of Oryzias melastigma (Indian medaka), 968 nucleotides long. RefSeq lists it as uncharacterized. The transcript is spliced from 3 exons. NCBI's taxonomy places the organism in Eukaryota, Metazoa, Chordata, Actinopteri, Beloniformes, Adrianichthyidae. The record is from RefSeq and is a predicted model, not a curated record.